GACGAACGCUGGCGGCGUGCCUAAUACAUGCAAGUAGAACGCAGUUGCGAACGGGUGAGUAACGCGUAGGUAACUGCCUGGUAGCGGGGGAUAACUAUUGGAAACGAUAGCUAAUACCGCAUACUACCAGAUGGACCUGCGUUGUCUUAGCUAGUUGGUGGGGUAACGGCUCACCAAGGCAACGAUACAUAGCCGACCUGAGCGGGUGAUCGGCAACACGUGGAAUGAUGCACGGCCCAGACUCAUACGGGAGGCAGCAGGAGGGAAUCGUCGGCAAUGGACGGAAGUCUGACAGAGCAACGCGGCGUGAGUGAAGAAGGGUAUCGGAUCGUAAAGCUCUGUUGUAAGAGAAGCGGUAUCUUACCAGAAAGGGACGGCUAACUACGUGCCAGCAGCCGCGGUAAUUC
RNAcentral lists this ribosomal RNA (407 nucleotides) under uncultured bacterium. RNAcentral describes it as "partial 16S ribosomal RNA". It matches the Rfam family "Bacterial small subunit ribosomal RNA", at positions 28 to 526 of the family's 1533-position model. The record is from RNAcentral.